GUGUAUAAAUCUGUGUGCUGUGCAGGAACAUGGCUCUUUCGUUGCUGAAGAGACUGCGAAAGUAGCAGCGGCUCGGGCUGCGCAUACGCCAGCAGCGUGUUGGAUGGAGGCUGGAGGACACUUGAACGUGUGAAAUCCUGGCUGUGGAAUGAGCCGGUGCAUGCGGCUGUGUGUGGAUGCACAUGCACCCAAUUAAGUUGCAACUGCAGUGGCCUGAGGUGGCAAGAGGCGUGGCAGCUUGACAAUUCAUUUGCAUUUCAAACGGGCAAAUUGCGGUGCACCAACACCUGACUCGUGCUCUGCGCUGCCCUGCUUUUUGUGUGUGUGUGUGUCUGCGCCUCAUUAUGCGUUGCAAUUAUGACGUUGCAACUACAAGGAGGUGGAUGACGAUGCCAACGAAUUGCAGGCUGCACUUCAGCUUCAGCGUGCAUUUUUACUGUCUCGAGUUGACUGCAUCUCUGCGCUGCAACGUUCUUUCGUUGCAUCUCUGCGCUGCAACGUUCACUGCGCCGUUGUCAACAAGCAGUGCAAAAAGUAUGUUGACAACCCCAUGCAACAACAGCAACAACAAGAAGAACACGAGUAACGAGAUUAACAAGCUGCAACUACUAGGCGAGUCAACCAGUCAGGCAGGCAGGCAGGCGGCGGUCCGGACUCCAGCGACAGACAUCGCCCUGCUCCGCUCCGCUUCGCCUGACUGACUGCGCACUGAGUAUAGAGCUGAGGCCCAGGACUGAGACACGGAUUGACAGCGGCCCAGGCGCAUUAUAAAACUUGAGUACCAGGGACCACCCUGCAAUUGAAAUCAGCUCAAUUGUGUGUAGGCCCCCAUGGCCCCAUACUAGUGCAAGUACAGAGGGGGCACACGAUCCACAGCCAGAGCCAGAGUCCAAUCAUCUACUGCGGAUUGAGUAGUCUACGGGAGCCUUUGGCAAUCUUAUUGUUCGCUGCUUGAGCGUUCCAAAAUGGCGUUUGCUGCUGGGAGUCCGGACUAACGCUCACUCGAACCACAAAGAAAACCACAAAAACAACGACCAUUUGACCAUCUCAUCUACCGCAUACAGUUGCCAUGAAUCACCAUCACCUGGCGGUGGCUUCAUCCACAGCUACAGCUAACAGUCUGUGCCACUGCCUCUGCCACUGCCUGGCUGUGCCUCUGGGCACUGGUUCUGGUUCUGGUUCGGGGUCUGAGGUCUGGCGGAACAUCCAUCAAUGUGCCGUUGACAUUUCCUUGGACCGUUGACAAGAAUUGUCACAAUAAACAAUACAACCACGACGACAACAAGAGCAGCCAGAACAAUGAUGGCAAUGCGAGGAGAGGACACGUGACGUGACGCGAUGAGAUCAGCGGCGGCAGCCAGGAGUCCGUCCAGAUCUGGGGCAGGAGCAGCGAAUCAGCAUGAUGAUUAGUUCGGCAGGAAAAUGCAUAUCAUGAGCACGAUUAAAUCAAAAAGGUUUCAGACGGAUUCUGGAUUGCCUAUCUGUCACCUAAAUUUGUGUGCAUUGAAGAUCUUCUAUAAGGGGUAAGUG
This 1530-nucleotide small RNA is filed under the name Drosophila pseudoobscura pseudoobscura. Its description in RNAcentral is "GA31086". The record is from RNAcentral. Lineage: Eukaryota; Metazoa; Arthropoda; Insecta; Diptera; Drosophilidae.